UUUCUCAUUAUGAAGUUCCAUUUUUUAUUUAUAUAUAUUUUUGUAUGCAUGGGCAGUUGGGGCACCAGUAUAUAGGUCAAGUAGGACUGUUAGGACUGUUAGCAGACCCAGUGUUCCAGCAGACAGAUGCAAGCCACAGCAGUGCCGACCGAGGUUCUUUAGGAAGUUUGCCGAAGCCAUCAGUGAACGUCUUGGAUGAUGAAGCGCUCCUGAGUGCCAACCUGAUCAGAUGGCAGUGCCAAUCCACGGGUGCCCUGCUAGCAUGGAUUUUUCCUGUUGGAGAUCCCAAGUGACAGCAUGAGUCCAGCGUACACAGCCAUCGGUUCCUUCAUAGUCCUGACUGAUCCUGUGCCCUGGCGUAAGAAUCAACGAGGAAGGAUCUGAAUCUUUCCCUGCCAAGACAGCCCUGAAGAACUCCUUCAGUGUCAGGGCGGCAAUCUCCAAGAAGCAGUCUGGGACCUGCAGCCCCAAAGACACCCCCCAAGAAAAGGAAGAAAUGAGGCACCAUAGAGAGCCCAUUGGCUGGUGUUGCCCUGCUGCCCUGCUGCCCCGCUGCCCUGGGUUCUGCAGCCCAAGACUACCCUGUUCCCUAGUGAAACACCAUCCAGAGAGCAGUCUUGGGUAUUAGAGCCUUCCAGGACUUGUCGGUUCUACCAGCUGGGUAUGUUUUAAUGAGUGUGGGAAAUGAGAGGGUUGAGCUUUCUUUUCCUUAGACCUCUUGUGAGAAAGGCUGUCCUCAACCUUACGACUGCCAUCGGCCAACCAUUCUGAGAAUGCACAUCUUAGAUCUCAUGGGACCCAGUGCAUGUCUUACCUCAAAGUCAUUCCCCUUGUUAUAGUGUGUAUUGAGAACUCGGAAAAGCUCCGAGUCUCGGAGGACAGCCAGUGCUUGGGCGUUCGUGAUACCGUCUGAAAGUGCUUGCCGGGCAUACUUUUCCAUCUGGAUGUAAUAAAAUUCACGGAAGUUGCUGAACCACUUGAUCAUCUGGGAGGUGAUGCAGCGGUUGAACUGUGUGAACAAAUGGUCCAUCAAGUCAGACAUUUGCUGCGAGGUGCUCGGUGUCAGAACUGUCAGUGCCCACUUCAGUGUGAGAUUGAUGUAAAUUGGCUCAAGCACUAACCAUUUUUCCUUCAGAAAAAGAAAACCACAGGUACUGGCCAAUCCCAUGCAGUUAGACUACAAAAUCCGGUGUUUACUGGAAAAUAAGAUGUUAUGUCUAUAAAA
Molecule: long non-coding RNA, 1225 nt
Organism: Mus musculus (house mouse)
Lineage: Eukaryota; Metazoa; Chordata; Mammalia; Rodentia; Muridae
Gene: Prox2os
Product: prospero homeobox 2 opposite strand
Exons: 2
Source: RefSeq, marked validated